Molecule: ribosomal RNA, 497 nt
Filed under: uncultured bacterium
Lineage: Bacteria
Description: partial 16S ribosomal RNA
Rfam family: Bacterial small subunit ribosomal RNA
Source: RNAcentral
GAUGAACGCUGGCGGCGUGCCUAAUACAUGCAAGUCGAGCGAACGGACGAGAAGCUUGCUUCUCUGAUGUUAGCGGCGGACGGGUGAGUAACACGUGGAUAACCUACCUAUAAGACUGGGAUAACUUCGGGAAACCGGAGCUAAUACCGGAUGAUAUUUUGAACCGCAUGGUUCAAAAGUGAAAGACGGUCUUGCUGUCACUUAUAGAUGUAUCCGCGCUGCAUUAGCUAGUUGGUAAGGUAACGGCUUACCAAGGCAACGAUGCAUAGCCGACCUGAGAGGGUGAUCGGCCACACUGGAACUGAGACACGGUCCAGACUCCUACGGGAGGCAGCAGUAGGGAAUCUUCCGCAAUGGGCGAAAGCCUGACGGAGCAACGCCGCGUGAGUGAUGAAGGUCUUCGGAUCGUAAAACUCUGUUAUUAGGGAGGAACAUAUGUGUAAGUAACUGUGCACAUCUUGACGGUACCUAAUCAGAAAGCCACGGCUAACUACGUG